GGCCUUGAAAUACCACCCUUUAAUGUUUGAUGUUCUAACGUGGACCCGUAAUCCGGGUUGCGGACAGUGUCUGGUGGGUAGUUUGACUGGGGCGGUCUCCUCCUAAAGAGUAACGGAGGAGCACGAAGGUUGGCUAAUCCUGGUCGGACAUCAGGAGGUUAGUGCAAUGGCAUAAGCCAGCUUGACUGCGAGCGUGACGGCGCGAGCAGGUGCGAAAGCAGGUCAUAGUGAUCCGGUGGUUCUGAAUGGAAGGGCCAUCGCUCAACGGAUAAAAGGUACUCCGGGGAUAACAGGCUGAUACCGCCCAAGAGUUCAUAUCGACGGCGGUGUUUGGCACCUCGAUGUCGGCUCAUCACAUCCUGGGGCUGAAGUAGGUCCCAAGGGUAUGGCUGUUCGCCAUUUAAAGUGGUACGCGAGCUGGGUUUAGAACGUCGUGAGACAGUUCGGUCCCUAUCUGCCGUGGGCGCUGGAGAACUGAGGGGGGCUGCUCCUAGUACGAGAGGACCGGAGUGGACGCAUCACUGGUGUUCGGGUUGUCAUGCCAAUGGCACUGCCCGGUAGCUAAAUGCGGAAGAGAUAAGUGCUGAAAGCAUCUAAGCACGAAACUUGCCCCGAGAUGAGUUCUCCCUGAGACUUAGAGUCUCC
This 645-nucleotide ribosomal RNA is filed under the name Salmonella enterica. RNAcentral's name for it is "partial 23S ribosomal RNA". It matches the Rfam family "Bacterial large subunit ribosomal RNA", at positions 2188 to 2828 of the family's 2925-position model. Lineage: Bacteria; Pseudomonadati; Pseudomonadota; Gammaproteobacteria; Enterobacterales; Enterobacteriaceae. The record is from RNAcentral.